Molecule: ribosomal RNA, 422 nt
Filed under: uncultured Flavobacterium sp.
Lineage: Bacteria; Pseudomonadati; Bacteroidota; Flavobacteriia; Flavobacteriales; Flavobacteriaceae
Description: bacterial SSU rRNA
Rfam family: Bacterial small subunit ribosomal RNA
Source: RNAcentral
UGAGGAAUAUUGGACAAUGGGCGCAAGCCUGAUCCAGCCAUGCCGCGUGCAGGAUGACGGUCCUAUGGAUUGUAAACUGCUUUUGUACGAGAAGAAACACUACUUCGUGAAGUAGCUUGACGGUAUCGUAAGAAUAAGGAUCGGCUAACUCCGUGCCAGCAGCCGCGGUAAUACGGAGGAUCCAAGCGUUAUCCGGAAUCAUUGGGUUUAAAGGGUCCGUAGGCGGGCUAAUAAGUCAGUGGUGAAAUCUCCCGGCUCAACCGGGAAAUGGCCAUUGAUACUGUUAGUCUUGAAUUAUUAGGAAGUAACUAGAAUAUGUAGUGUAGCGGUGAAAUGCUUAGAGAUUACAUGGAAUACCAAUUGCGAAGGCAGGUUACUACUAAUGGAUUGACGCUGAUGGACGAAAGCGUGGGUAGCGAACA